Molecule: ribosomal RNA, 468 nt
Filed under: uncultured bacterium
Lineage: Bacteria
Description: partial 16S ribosomal RNA
Rfam family: Bacterial small subunit ribosomal RNA
Source: RNAcentral
GACGAACGCUGGCGGCGUGCUUAACACAUGCAAGUCGAACGGAAAGGCCCUGCUUUUGUGGGGUGCUCGAGUGGCGAACGGGUGAGUAACACGUGAGUAACCAGCCCUUGACUUUGGGAUAACUUCAGGAAACUGGGGCUAAUACCGGAUAGGAGCUCCUGCUGCAUGGUGGGGGUUGGAAAGUUUCGGCGGUUGGGGAUGGACUCGCGGCUUAUCAGCUUGUUGGUGGGGUAGUGGCUUACCAAGGCUUUGACGGGUAGCCGGCCUGAGAGGGUGACCGGCCACAUUGGGACUGAGAUACGGCCCAGACUCCUACGGGAGGCAGCAGUGGGGAAUAUUGCACAAUGGGCGGAAGCCUGAUGCAGCAACGCCGCGUGCGGGAUGACGGCCUUCGGGCUGUAAACCGCUUUCGCCUGUGACGAAGCGUGAGUGACGGUAAUGGGUAAAGAAGCACCGGCUAACUACGUG